AUCGACAAAACGUCGUCAUUUUUGCAUUUUCUCACCACGUCGGCGUGCAAAACGAAGCGUUUUGCACCCAACUCGCCGGAAAAUUGCCACAUCAACCAUUCGGUCGGAUUUUUGCCGAGUGGCACUUAAGUGUUCUACUUUACUCCGAAACUGGCACUUAAGUGUACCUUUCCGAAGUUAUAGUACUUAAGUGUCCUUCCAUGCCAAAUUAUGACACUUGAGCUGUUCUUCUACCCUAAGUUAACCACCCUUAGCCUUCUCAAGUUGCCGAAAUUCAGGAGGUUCUUCUUACCUGAGAAAUACUCUAUGAUAUUCCCGUGCUCCGAGGACUCCCCAUCCUUGCAAGUCUUGAGAAUACAGAGCUGUGGAGUAGAGCCAGACCAAGUCCUAGGUGGCGGGCGUUACUACGAAGUGAAAAGAAUUAUGCAACAGUUGCCGCGGAGACUCCGUUUCAAGAAACAGAGAGCAUCGAAGGCUCUCGGUGAUUCUAGUUGAAUCCUUUCCUCUCACUUGGCUGCUCGUCGUCACCGCUUCCCAAUCACCACUUGUUCCACUGCCGCGAAGAAGUUCUAUAAUGUCGGAGUGCUUGAACUUCGGUCACGACUGCCUACUUCGACGAUUCCAUCCCUUGAUGUUGCUUCUGUUAUUUCUUUACUCAUAUCCGAUCUCAAUUACUAUAGCUAAUCGUUCUCUAUUCAACUAAACCAUAUAUGCUCUGUUUUUUCGUUCCUAUUCUACUGUCUGUGUGCAAAUCGACUAUGAUUGAAGGGUUGUAUUAAUAAUUUGAAGCGGUGCUCCUCGGCCGAAAUUAAUGUGUGCAACCUGUUUGAUGAAAUUCCUGAACUAAGUCAGUGUGUAUUUUUUAUUCAGUUCUUGAUCGAGAAUUCCCUUGAUUACUA
This is a long non-coding RNA of Eucalyptus grandis, 899 nucleotides long. RefSeq lists it as uncharacterized. The transcript has 2 exons. Lineage: Eukaryota; Viridiplantae; Streptophyta; Magnoliopsida; Myrtales; Myrtaceae. The record is from RefSeq and is a predicted model, not a curated record.